UCUUUUAGUUAUUCCAAGGGACCUAGAGACGAAUGGAAUAUCCUGAAAAUUGAUGGUUUUGAUGCGAAGGAUGAUCCAAAGAGAUUUAAAUCUAUCCAUUGCCAUCUGUUUCCACAAGUUUUUUAUUGCCCGCACAUCAGAUGAUGAAGAUUGCAAGAGGCGAAGCAAAAUUUAUUCCCAAUUACGGAGGAAAUGGAAGAUCAACGUAUGGUAAGGAGCAUAAUUGCGUAUAAGAUAUUCUAGAAAAAUUAUUUACAUUGACGGAAAUAGAAAUCCCAAAUACAUAUGUUAUUUUGCACUUAUAUUGAGUAGGAAAUUAUAACGUAAACAUAUAUACGUUACAUAGCGUUUGCUAGGUUGUACACAAGACUUGAGCUGAACUCGGGCUUGUGCUAUUGCUUAUUCAUGCUUGUUUGAAUUUUACAUGGACAUUCAGAGCCUUUUCUCAGUCAGUUUUCUAUUUUUCCAAUUUUCUGAAAACUGCUUUAGAUUUAUGGUAACCGAUACGUUGUACCUGUAAAACAAAAAUUUAUUACUUUUGUUUGUAACAAGCAUGAAAGCUGUGAACUAAAGCUUUUUAUUUUUAUCCUAUUGGCCUCAUGAAUAGUUUAAACAAUUGGUACAAUAUUACUGUUCCUCUAAAAAAGAUAAUGGACUUUGACUAUCUUAUUUAUAGAGAUAUCUGUUUAAAUUAGUCACAAAGUCAAUAGAAUAAAAACAAAAACCGCUUAGUUUCAACAGUUACUAAUAGCUAAGUUCCAAGAUAACGCCUAGUAUAAAUUGUGAGGUGCUCCUCGAAAGAACUAAUGCGAAAUAAAAUGUAUUUAAAACCUU
Molecule: long non-coding RNA, 834 nt
Organism: Temnothorax curvispinosus
Lineage: Eukaryota; Metazoa; Arthropoda; Insecta; Hymenoptera; Formicidae
Exons: 2
Source: RefSeq, a predicted model, not a curated record